Molecule: ribosomal RNA, 530 nt
Filed under: uncultured bacterium
Lineage: Bacteria
Description: bacterial SSU rRNA
Rfam family: Bacterial small subunit ribosomal RNA
Source: RNAcentral
CGUUGUCCGGAUUAUUGGGCGUAAAGCGCGCGCAGGCGGAUAGGUCAGUCUGUCUUAAAAGUUCGGGGCUUAACCCCGUGAUGGGAUGGAAACUGCCAAUCUGGAGUAUCGGAGAGGAAAGUGGAAUUCCUAGUGUAGCGGUGAAAUGCGUAGAUAUUAGGAAGAACACCAGUGGCGAAGGCGACUUUCUGGACGAAAACUGACGCUGAGGCGCGAAAGCCAGGGGAGCGAACGGGAUUAGAUACCCCGGUAGUCCUGGCCGUAAACGAUGGGUACUAGGUGUAGGAGGUAUCGACCCCUUCUGUGCCGGAGUUAACGCAAUAAGUACCCCGCCUGGGGAGUACGACCGCAAGGUUGAAACUCAAAGGAAUUGACGGGGGCCCGCACAAGCGGUGGAGUAUGUGGUUUAAUUCGACGCAACGCGAAAAACCUUACCAGGUCUUGACAUUGAUGGACAGAACCAGAGAUGGUUCCUCUUCUUCGGAAGCCAGAAAACAGGUGGUGCACGGUUGUCGUCAGCUCGUGUCGUG